AUGCAAGCGGACCGAGGCGGAGGAGAAGUGGCUAGAGAGUGUCCGUCUGUGUCCGCUUUGGCCUCAAAACGAGACCAACUUUGGUCCAGAGAUGAGGUGAAACGGACACGAAACGGACGAAAAAGUAAAAUGGGGUCUGCCGCUGGAUCGUCUGGUAUGUCCGUUUUACCCCAAACGGACGCACCCGGACAAAAUGGGGUCGCGCGAUGGAGUUGGCCUAAGUACAGACUAUACCAAACAGAUGUGUCAGUUUACCUAGCCUUCUUCUCCAAGUUGGGCAUGUCCAUCAUGGGGAUCUUGCUUGCAUGCUCCCAGUUUGCAAGCAUCACGGAUGACGAGACCAUGGCCGGAGGAGAUGACUUGAAGCUGCUGGGCGCUUGGGCAAGUCCAUUUGUCACCAGGGUGAAGCUUGCGCUGAACUUCAAGGGCCUGAGCUUCGAGGAUGUCGAAGAGGACCUUAGCAACAAGAGCGAGCUCCUCCUCAGCUCGAACCCGGUGCACAAGAAGGUGCCCGUGCUCGUCCACAACGGAAAACCCAUUUGCGAGUCAGUGAUCAUCGUUCAGUACAUCGAUGAGGCGUUCGCCGGCAUCGGCCCCGCUCUCCUUCCCUCUGACCCCUACGAACGCGCCAUUGCCCGUUUCUGGGCCGCCUACGUUGACGAUAAGCUCGUCGCCCCAUGGGUACAGUCGUUGAGGGCCAAGACAGAGGAGGAGAAGUCCGAGGGGCUUAAGCAGACAUUUGCCGCGGUGGAGACACUGGAAGGAGCCCUGCGGGAGUGCUCCAAGGGAGAGGGCUACUUUGGUGGUGAGACCGUCGGGCUUGUGGACAUUUCACUUGGGAGCCUGCUCUCCUGGUUGAACGCGACAGAAGUGAUGUCCGGAACCAAGAUAUUUGAUCCUGUUAAGACUCCGCUCCUGGCAGCGUGGAUGGAGCGCUUUAGCAAGCUCGAUGCUGCCAAGGCGGCGUUGCCAGAAGUUGAUAGGGUGGUCGAAUUUGCCAAGAAGAGACAAGCACAGGCUGCUGCCGCCGCCGCUGCUUCAGAGACCAAGUAA
RNAcentral lists this ribosomal RNA (1053 nucleotides) under Triticum aestivum (bread wheat). RNAcentral describes it as "partial small subunit ribosomal RNA". Lineage: Eukaryota; Viridiplantae; Streptophyta; Magnoliopsida; Poales; Poaceae. The record is from RNAcentral.